GAUCAUGCUCAGGACGAACGCUGGCGGCGCGCCUAACACAUGCAAGUCGAACGAGCGAGAGAGAGCUUGCUUUCUCAAGCGAGUGGCGAGCGGGUGAGUAACGCGUGAGGAACCUGCCUCAAAGAGGGGGACAACAGUUGGAAACGACUGCUAAUACCGCAUAAGCCCACGACCCGGCAUCGGGUAGAGGGAAAAGGAGCAAUCCGCUUUGAGAUGGCCUCGCGUCCGAUUAG
This 233-nucleotide ribosomal RNA is filed under the name uncultured bacterium. RNAcentral's name for it is "partial 16S ribosomal RNA". It matches the Rfam family "Bacterial small subunit ribosomal RNA", at positions 15 to 244 of the family's 1533-position model. The record is from RNAcentral.